CAGGGGAACCUUGGUGCCGGAAGGUGGAGGCGGGGCUUCCUGUAGUUCACGGGGUCGACCUGUCGCUCAGACCCCCGAACCUACUUUCCCCUAGGCCGGCAGCAGGAUGGCUGAGGAGGAGGUCCAGGGCCGCCUGUGGCUGGAGAGCCCCGCUGGGGGAGCUCCUCCCAUCUUCCUGCCUUCGAACCGGCAGGCUCUGGUCCUGGGCCGGGGUCCCCUCACCCGUGUUACGGACCGGAAGUGCUCCAGAAACCAAGGUGGGGACGGGCUUGAGCGGGAAGGGGUGUGGCCUGCUCUAGAGGCGGGAAUGAGAUCCUAAAGAAUGAUGCACCGAGGGACGCUCGGCUACUAGGCACAAUUGCGUGGUGCGUCCAGCCCAGGGGUCGAUUGGUGCCUUCUGGGGAGCGCAGAAGGAGAGGUUGUACCUGACCUUGGGGAAGAGGGUGUGGUGCCAACCCCGGGAGAAUUGUCAGUGGGCACAGGAGGCUGCUCUCGGGCCAUUUGAAGGUUUAAAACUGGCCACCACCUUUGUGAAGAGAGGUGAUCCUACAGAGAAAAGUAAAAGCCGGGUGGACGUGGACGGUAACAGGGCAAGCCCAGGGCCUGCGUCAAGCCUCACUUAUUAUUAUUUAUAUGAAAGUGUCUGCCCUGUUCAUAGGCAAGGACCAUGCCACGCGCAGUCCUAGGGACUCUCGCAGUGGGAUCCAAUCCCAUUGAGAAAUAAACUGUCUCUUACUCUCUCCGGAAUGGAUGCUGUAGCUCCAUUCUGUGGCCUGAAACUGGCCACCGCUCCCCAGUAUGAGGGGGCCCUUCACACAAGGAUGUGAUCCUGACCCCACCCCCUCAUCCCCUAGUGGAGCUGGUUGCAGACCCUGAGACCCGGACAGUGGCUGUGAAACAGGUACCAGUGCUUCAGCAAGGGGCAGCAGUGUCUGGGGGUAGGGUCUGGAGGGGAAUUGCAAACUGGCAGGGGGUAGACCCAUUAGAAAACUGGCCAGAAGAAGGGGGUGUGCUGGUGAAAAAGAGUUGUCGGCUUUAUUUGGGUAUCCAUCUGUCCCCUUUCAACUGGGCAAGACUGGAAGCCUAUAAGGGUCUGAUUGGUAGGUGGACUAAAUCACCCUGUGGUAUUGGGGGGGGGGAGGUUCUCACAGUGGGUGGAGCUGGUCCCAGCCCCUCCCUCUUUCUCUGCAGCUGGGCGUUAACCCUUCAACUGCUGGAACCCAGCAGUUGAAACCAGGGUUGGAGGGCUCUCUGGGGGUGGGGGACACACUAUAUUUGGUCAAUGGCCUCCACCCACUGACCCUGCGCUGGAAAGAGACCCAUACAUCAGGAUCCCAGCCAGAUACUCCGCCUGGCACCUCUCCAGUAGCUUCAGAUGAAGAGCAGGAGAAGGAUGCUAAGCAGCAGAAAAAGCGCUUAAGGAAGUCAUCCCCUGGCUGGGAGAGCUUGGAGAAGCUGCUAGUGUUCACAGCACCUGGGGUGAAGCCUCGGGGCAAGGUGAGGCUGCUGGAGGUUCUGCCCUAGGCCGGGCAUUCAGUCUGAACUUCAAAUGUGAUCCUAGGCAAGGCUGUCAGCCUCUUAGCCUUGGGGGAAGUGUGGGUUGGUCCCUGCUGCCCCUUGGUAGACACCCAGGAAUCAGCAGGAUGACCAGGAACAGGUCAGCAGGGGCUCUUCAGACUGCACUUAGAUGUGGUCAAGGCCAUGCUGAGUCUACAUCUCACCUCUGAAAUGAUGACUUCCCAAAAAGUAUGUGGCCUUGGUCCCUGACAGGCAGUGGGCACCCCAAAAAAGCUUUGCUCUGGUUUUAUUUCCCCUGUAGUUAUUAAUCUCCAAGGUGUAAAAGCCCAGGGGAGGAGAUCGGGUAAGAAACUAAUUCUCAUUUUGAUACUAGAAAUGCAGAGGUGGGGUGGACACAGGAGUGACAGGACAGUAGGAUUUCAGGUGAUGUGUCUGUGCCUCAUCCCUGUUGGGUCAUAUCUACAGAAAACCAUCUCCCUGCAUCAAAGUGUUAUUGUGACUCAUCCUGUGAGUGAAGAGACAGGUGUCUCAAUGCUGCCCCUCCUCUGUUCUUGGUGACACCAGGUAGCUGCCUUUGAUUUGGAUGGGACCCUCAUCACCACCCGCUCUGGGAAGGUGUUUCCCACUGGCCCCAGUGACUGGAGGUGAGGAGGGGCAAGGGAAGGGAGUGAGUGGAGCUGGUUGACCCCUCCAGGCCCCAGGUCACUUGUCCACUUCCGACCCAUUCUAGGGUCUUGUACCUAGAGAUUCCACGCAAGCUGAAGGAGUUGGAAGCAGAAGGCUACAAGGUCUGUGCCUAUGUGAGCAAGCGCGACAGGGUCUCUGAUGAGGAGGCCCUGGUGACAUUGUCUGCUCCCUAGCUGGUGAUCUUCACCAACCAGAUGGGCAUUGGACGAGGGAAACUGCCAGCAGAGGAGUUCAAGGCCAAGGUGGAGGCUGUGGUAGAGAAGCUGGGGGUUCCCUUUCAGGUAUGACUAGAAUGGAGGCUAGGGCCAGGGUAGGGUAACAAAGACCCUUGGGUGGGAGACAAACCCAGAGAGAGUCCCUGGGAUGUAUGGGACAGAGGCCUCUGCUGGGGUCAAGCCAUGAGCAGUUGUCAUGAGCUGUAUAUCCCAGAGCAUGGGCAGCUCUCUGGGGCUUGGUACCCAGCUCUUUGGGGCUUGGAAGAGCUGAGGAUGGUGUGUGACCCCUGCCCCACUUCAGGUGCUGGUGGCUACACAUGCAGGCCUGUAUCGGAAGCCGGUGACUGGCAUGUGGGACCAUCUGCAGGAGCAGGUGAGCUGUACCUCCUCUUCCCCUUGCUCUAGCCCCUGUUUCUUAGGGCUUGUUCUUUCUCUCCUCCCUUAGUCCUUGUCAUGUGGUUUAGCUGUCAGGUCCUAGGUGCUGGUAUAUGAGGUCAGUACCAUUAAGCUGAAGUCAGAGGUUGCAUCAGGAGCAGAGACAGGAGGGUAAGUUUGAGUCAGCCUGGGCAACUUAGGGAGACCCUGUCUCAAACUAUAAAAUAAGCCGGGCACAGUGUCGCAUGAAUGAAAUCCCAGCGGCUCAGGAGGCUGAGGCUGAGUUCAAAGGCAGCUGAUCAAACUCACUGAUCAGGAGUUCAAAGCUGGCCUCAGCAAAGGUGAAGCACUAAGCAACUCAGUGAGACCCUGUCUCUAAAUAAAAUACAAAAUAGGGCUGGGGAUGUGGCUCAGCUGUAGAGCACCUGCCUAGCAUGUCUGAGUCACUGGGUUCCAUCCCUAGUACCACCAAAAAAAAAAAAAAAUCAGUGGUUGAGAUUGUUAAUUCAUUCAACCAAUGGUUUGUUCUGAGCUGAAAAUCCUGGUAAAUAAUAGUGGCAUGCCUGCUGUAGCAGUACUCGUAGACCGCUGAUGGCAGCCAGCUAUAAAUGCACACAUGAGUAUAAAAUAGGAAGUAGGGUGUGAUUUUCCUACGGUAGACAGGGGGACGUCUCUAAGAAGGUGACAAAUUGAGUAAAAGUCUAAGGGAGGUGAGGGAAGAAGCCACAUGGAUAUCUGCAGAAGUGGUCCUGGCCAGAGUGACAGCUGGUGUGAAGGCCCCGAGCCUUGCGUGUUCACCAGUGCGGAUGCCCACCUGGUGGACCCAGGUGAGUGAGAGGGUGGGGCCUCGCCUUGGGGCCACGGGAGCAGAGUAGGAACGCGUGUGGGGUCUAAGUGGGGAUGGGAGCCUGGAAGCCUAUCCGCUCUGGCCUGAGUCUAGGCAGUGAAGCGUGAGAAGCGCUGCAAUGGUGAGGACUUGAGAGGUUUGAGAUCUGGCCUGAUGCAGGGAACAGACCAAGAGGAGCUGCCCCAGGGAGCCCUUUACUGCAGAGGGACAGUUGUUAGGAGUAGGUUCUAUUUGUCUCUCCAGGCCAACGAGGGCGUGCCCAUCUCUAUGGGGGACAGCAUCUUCGUGGGAGGUAAGGGCUUGGGGCUGCUGCGGGUGGGCCAAGACCCUUCUCUCCAAACCUGCUGGCAGUGAAGGGUAUCCUCGUGCGUUCCAGAUGCAGCAGGCCGCCCAGCCAACUGGGCCCCUGGCCGUAAGAAGAAAGACUUUUCCUGCGCUGACCGAUUGGUGAGCAGGUGACCGAUUGGGGAUCGGUCACCAAUGGUGAGCCCCGCACCCCGCCCUCGAUCUCUGCCUCACCUCUGCCUUUGCCCCAGUUUGCGCUCAACCUUGGCCUGCCCUUCGCCACCCCGGAGGAGUUCUUCCUUAAGCAGCCCACAGCAGCCUUUGUCCUCCCAGCAUUUGACCCGGUGAGGCCCGAGGGGUGGAAGGCAGGGAACAAGCAGGGGAAUGAGGGUCUCAACUUCUUGUUCCACCCCUCCUAGAGGACUGUCUCCUGCUCAGGGCCUCUCUGCCUCCCAGAGUCCAGCUCCCUCCUGAGCUCUGACCCAGAGGUGGUUGUCGCCGUGGGAUUCCCUGGGGGUGAGAUAUCCUGAUCCCCAUCUCUGGGUGCUGUAAGUGUCCUUCUGGGUCCUGGGUAUCCACUGAUAGUGAUUUUGUGCCUCUCAGCUGGGAAGUCCACCUUCCUCAAGAAACAUCUCGUGUCAGCUGGGUACGUCCACGUGAACAGGGUAAGAGGCUGCCGCGCCCCAUCCCACUGGUUCAUUCCCUGGCUGCCCCAACCGGGCCUUCAGGGCUGCCGCCCAGCACCCCUGCCUCCCCCUGCAGUUCUGAUUUGUUGCCCUGCCCCCACCAGGACACCCCUUCAUCUUCUAUUCCCUAUUGGGCAAUUCCUGCUUGUGACCUGCUCUCCUCUGUCCCCAGGAUACAAUAGGCUCCUGGCAGCGCUGUGUGAGCACCUGUGAGGCAGCUCUGAAGCAGAGGAAACGCGUGGUGAUCGACAACACAAAUCCAGACAUCCCAACCAGGGCCAGGUACUUGGCCCCAUGGGAGGUCUCUAGUAGGGCUGGCAAGGGCCUGGUGACAGCGCUUUCCUGGCCUCAACAGGUAUGUCCAGUGUGCCAGGGAUGCAGGUGUUCCCUGCCGUUGUUUCCUCUUCACUGCCACAUUGGAGCAGGCUCGCCACAACAACCGGGUGAGCCCCUGCCCUCCCCCUCCCUCCUGCCCUGCCCUGCCCCUCCCUCCCCGAUGGCCUCACUCUGAACCAUCCCCUAACAGUUCCGGGAGAUGACUGGCUCCUCUCACACACCAGUGUCAGAUGUCGUCAUAUUCGGCUACAGGUACCUCUAGUUAGUAGGCUGUGGGCUGGUAGGGCCUGGCCUCUCCUUACCACCUUCUCUGCCACCAGGAAACAGUUCGAAGCUCCUACGGUGGCGGAAGGCUUCUCUGCAAUCCUGGAGAUCCCAUUCCAGCUGCAGCUAGAGCCGCAACUAGAGCGACUCUACCGGCAGUUCUCUGAGGGCUGAGUUGCCCAGCCCCAUGCUCCCCUCCCUGACCUGGCAAUAAAUGCUAUUUUUCUCCAAGCUUGGCCAGCAUUUUGCUGGGAGGAAGGGUGGUCGUCUUGGAGGUGCGUCACCAGGCCUAGGCCAACCCCACGCCCCCACACACACACGCGCGCGCGCGCACACUUUUCUACAUUUUCAGGUUAACAGAAAAGGAGGGACCUGGACUGGCUCAGGCUGCUCCUCUGCACAUCUCAUGUUCUACACCAAACCACUCCACCCACCUUGGGCUGUGGAAAGGUGUCACUAGGAGGUUGUCAUGAGCAGGUCAAACAAGAGACUGAGAUGAGACAUGGGAAUGUAGGACAUUGAAUGGGCCCCUAUAAGCUAGCCAGAGCUUGGCUCAAGAUGGCCCAUGAGGGCACAGUGAUUGCAAGCUUGCCUAAUCAUGUGUGAGGCCCUGCAUUCAACUCCCAGUACUGCAUGAGGACAAAAUAUCCAGGGCUCAGGUUCUAUUGCAUUGGACUUGAACGCAGGGGAUGUGGGUCUUGGACCUGCCUAUGGAUCCCCCCUCCAGCUACAGGAGGCAAAAACGCCCCUGACCUAUGCUUUCUUACAGGUAAGUCCAGGGGAAAGAAACCAUGAGCACUACCUGCAAGGUCCUGGCACCAGGUACUGGAAACAGAGAACCAACACACGGCUUCAUGCUUCUGACACAAAGGCCCCAGGAGGUGAGGCCACC
RNAcentral lists this long non-coding RNA (6105 nucleotides) under Marmota monax (woodchuck). Lineage: Eukaryota; Metazoa; Chordata; Mammalia; Rodentia; Sciuridae. The record is from RNAcentral.